CCCCGGGGAGCCCCCGCCCGACGAGCGGGGCUGCGGCACCGCGACCGGGAGGAGCCGCUCCGGGACAGCCGCCGGGACCUCGGGCCGCUCAGCUGAUACACCUGCCAGGCAUAUCUUGAGUGGGAAGGGAUGCAGAAGGAGCACCGAGCUGAACCCUUAUGUGAACACCUCGUCUGGGGAUUGAACACACAACCUGGGUUCAGCACCCUGCUCCAACCAGCCGAUCUCGGGUCCGUGGCAGUGUCGUGCCUGGGAUGGGAAUGCCAAGCGCCAGCAAGGGAAUUCCUAUGCCAAUGCAGCUCCUUCUUUGAUGCUGAUGCUGCUUUACGCAGCAGCCCCUGGAAUGUCCCAGGGCAGAGCUCUGUAGCCAGCACCUGACCGUAGAACAACACAGGUUAAGGCUUGGGUGACAGCAUAAAGCUCUUCCCAUAACCCUGAUUUCCUGCCCUUUUCAGCAUUUCCCUGAGGGCUGUAAAGGUGCUUGUGCUGUGUCUCUUUGCAGGGAGGAAUGAGCAAGACAAGCCCUGAGGGCUCCCUUGGUCCGUGGCUGAAGUUCUUCUGGAGAGCGUCAGGGCUGGUCCCGCCUGCAGAGGGGCGUCUCCUGCAGGUGAGUGUUCCCAGCCCAAAAUCAAGGCUGGGGUCUAAGGCCGGGGCUGCUUCUCUGGCCCAGAGCUGCACAGAGCCCUCGGUGACUCCUGCUCGCUGCUGGCGAUGUUGCUUGGUGUUUCUGUGGGUCCCAGCCAGCCAGGAACACGGGGCGGGAGGAGGCCGGCAGCCCCCAAAAGGCAAUCGGCACUUCUUGUCCUUGAGGUGUGCAGGGAAGGAGCCGUGCCUGCAUCAUCCCGCCCACAGCACGCAGCGUGCCAAACACGCGUCCCAGGGAUGGGCGCCGGGCUGCUCGGACAGCGCUGGCACAGGCACGGCUGAAGGGCUGCCCGGAGCUCCUCAGCCAGGGGCUGUUCUGCACGGGCACGGGGAGAUGCCUCACCGCGCACGGAGGCCACCGAGAGCCCAGAGAUGCCCCGAGGAGCAGCUGGCACUGCCUGGGCACGGGCGGCUCGGGCCAUCCGCAGAGGGGCGCAGAUGGCGAUUCCCAGUUCCGACCUCCCGGAGCUCCUGCGCGGCUGCCAGAAAUGAAAUCCCCAGCAAUUCUCUCAGAGAUGCCUUAAAAUGAAAGCUUAGACAAAUGUGUUUGGAUGAAGUUUGGAGUUUUUCAGGGAGCCAGCUGGAAGCUGAUGAAGAAGUGAUGGAAAGCUUUUUCAGGUGGCCUGGUGAUGCCAGGGGGGUUUCUCCUGCUCCUCUCCAGCCUGCGGCCUCUUCUCUCUUCCCCACCAGCUGCUGCCAAGGAAGGAGGACACAUUAUUCCAGGUUUUCCCAGUUAGGAGCUGCAAGGAAUUCAGGCAAAAGACAGCGGGGAACAGCUGUACAUUCAAAGGAAGAAAGAGAAGGUCUACCAGCAAAGGGGAAAGGCUUCAGAAAACAUUUCUGCAAUUAAUAAUUAUUUCCAAUUCCCCAGUGAGAAGGGAUCUUUGGGGAAUCCCUGGUGGUUGUCCAGAAUCUAUAUAAAUCGAAGUCAAGAAAUAAACUUCUCUCUUUUUUCUCUGAA
Molecule: long non-coding RNA, 1606 nt
Organism: Hirundo rustica (Barn swallow)
Lineage: Eukaryota; Metazoa; Chordata; Aves; Passeriformes; Hirundinidae
Exons: 5
Source: RefSeq, a predicted model, not a curated record